Macadamia integrifolia is the source of this 991-nucleotide long non-coding RNA. RefSeq lists it as uncharacterized. The transcript is spliced from 2 exons. The record is from RefSeq and is a predicted model, not a curated record. NCBI's taxonomy places the organism in Eukaryota, Viridiplantae, Streptophyta, Magnoliopsida, Proteales, Proteaceae.
UAGAGGGAGAGAGAGAGAGAGACUGACCUCUUCUACUAUUUCCUUGGUAUCAAAUGUUGUGCAAGUUCCAAUGGUGAAGUCUCCACAGGCUCCAACAGGAUCACCAAAGCUUGCAAACUCAACCUUGACCAUCACUUUAUGGUUGGGACACUUCAAGAUAGCUUGUGGUCUAAUGACAUCCACCCCAGACUGAAUCAUGCUUUCCUGUCCCUUCCAUGAUUUCACAUGUGGUGGGUGAUACUCUGUGAUGUAGCUGCACACUGCGUCUCUGUGAACAGUCAAGAUUGUAAUCUUCUCUGGGUUUCCUCCAAUUUCCUCAAACACAACCAGAAGGUUUUCAGUUGGCUUCAAGAAGGCUCUUGGGAUAUGGUACCUGAAUCAAAAACCAUGGAUGAACAUAUUAGAAGGCACAGAGAUUAUGUGAAAACCAGCAGAACUAAAUACUCACUCAGACUGAGAAGGCUUCCCAAGAGGUGACAAGUAGGAGACCCAGUAACGCCCAAUGCUUUUACCAUUGACCCAGACCAUGCCUUUUGACAUACUUGUCAGAUUGAGAGCAACAGUUUACCUCCGGAGGAAGACGCGGGUAAUGGACUGAACCAGAGAAGAUAAGCUGUCUUCUUUCAUUGAUAAUCAAAGAUCUCCCAUCAUAAGUCACUCCCUUGAGCUUCUUGUCAUGGGAGACUGCUGAGACAACCAACAAGGAGAGUACUACAAGGAUAAGCGCCCGGGAGCGGCUUUGUAUCAACAUUGUAAAGAGGUCACUAUUGGAUCCCAAAACCAGAGAUGACUUCCUCAGAAUGAGGAAGAAAGCAAGAUGUUCCAAGAAUCUAUAAUGGCCCUUUUAUGUGGGUAAGCAAAAGGGUUUGUGUGUGAGAGUUAGGAUAAACAAAAUUGGCCAAAGAGGGAAAGGUUGGAAGCUGCUUCUGUUGUGUUGUGGUUGCUGUUUUAAGCUCUUGGCUUUACUUUCUUAUUACAGCUCUGUUUCUCA